UGGCCAUUUUUAUUUUCAUGAUGUGUCUGUCGACGUGAGGGAAGCCCUUUAGUUCGUCCGCUGGAUGCGCAUCAGGAUGACAAAUGCAAAAUCUAUGCCAUACAGGGUACACUAAUUGCCGCCUUCAAAUUCGAUGUGGACAAUUUACGACCUUAAAAUGACGGCGUUGUCCGUGAUAUGAUUUCUCCUUGCGAGGAUACGCUGAAUUUAUAUCUAAAUAUAGGGAAGCCAAAGCUGCUGUCCCUUUCCAGAGAGAUAUCACCAAGAUCUCCCUUGAAAACGCAGUGGAUACUUUGUGGUUGAAUGUCCUGAACGUGUACUUUUAUCGAAACGGUUUAUACCCUAGUUACCAAUCUCGGGAGACAGUAGCAUUCGGG
This 377-nucleotide small RNA is filed under the name Histoplasma ohiense. RNAcentral's name for it is "hypothetical lncRNA". The record is from RNAcentral. Lineage: Eukaryota; Fungi; Ascomycota; Eurotiomycetes; Onygenales; Ajellomycetaceae.